This 71-nucleotide transfer RNA is filed under the name Marmota marmota marmota (Alpine marmot). It matches the Rfam family "tRNA". From Rfam's summary of the family: Transfer RNA (tRNA) molecules are approximately 80 nucleotides in length. Lineage: Eukaryota; Metazoa; Chordata; Mammalia; Rodentia; Sciuridae. The record is from Rfam by way of RNAcentral. RNAcentral also lists the same sequence under 1 other name.
GGGGUUGUAGCUCAGUGGCAGAGCACUUGCCUAGCAUGUGUGAGGCACUGGGUUCCAUCCUCAGCACCUCA